RNAcentral lists this ribosomal RNA (468 nucleotides) under uncultured bacterium. RNAcentral describes it as "partial 16S ribosomal RNA". It matches the Rfam family "Bacterial small subunit ribosomal RNA", at positions 28 to 507 of the family's 1533-position model. The record is from RNAcentral.
GACGAACGCUGGCGGCGUGCUUAACACAUGCAAGUCGAACGGAAAGGCCCUGCUUUUGUGGGGUGCUCGAGUGGCGAAAGGGUGCGUAACACGUGAGUAACCUGCCCUUGACUUUGGGAUAACUUCAGGUAACUGGGGCUAAUACCGGAUAGGAGCUCCUGCUGCAUGGUGGGGGUUGGAAAGUUUCGGCGGUUGGGGAUUGACUCGCGGCUUAUCAGCUUGUUGGUGGGGUAGUGGCUUACCACGGCUUUGACGGGUAGCCGGCAUGCGUAGGUGACCGUCCCCAAUGGGCCAGCGGAACAGCCCGGACCCGAACGGUGGUUAGUAGGGGUAAAUAUUGUAAGAUGGUGGGAAGAGUGUUGAAGCAACGCCGCGUGCGGGAAGACCAGUUGCGGGUAGUAAACAGCUUUCGCCUGUGAAGGAGCGUGAGUGACGGUAAUGGGAGAAGAAGCACCGGCUAACUACGUG